UAUGUUUUGGUGUAUGAUGCACACGGAAUUUUGAAUUCCUUGGAUUUAGUUUGAAUCUAAAAAAUGUAA
RNAcentral lists this transfer RNA (69 nucleotides) under Acanthaspis pedestris. RNAcentral describes it as "tRNA-Gln". The record is from RNAcentral. Lineage: Eukaryota; Metazoa; Arthropoda; Insecta; Hemiptera; Reduviidae.